Long non-coding RNA from Daphnia pulex (common water flea), 349 nucleotides. RefSeq lists it as uncharacterized. Lineage: Eukaryota; Metazoa; Arthropoda; Branchiopoda; Diplostraca; Daphniidae. The transcript is spliced from 3 exons. The record is from RefSeq and is a predicted model, not a curated record.
UGUCAUGACUGACUGAUGUGCAACUAACGUAAGAUUCAAGACUCAUUACUAGAUGUCGCCAGUGUCGCCCAUGUUGACAUUCUGACAUCGUGAAUUUUACAUUCUGACAUCGUGAAAUUUCAAUGAAUCCUGUGAUUUCAAAUGCCAAAUUGAACUUCGUAUCAUAUAUGGAUACUGUCAGUCAUUCCAACAAGUUGACUUAGCGCUCAGUCACUUUCCAUCCAUUAGAUCCUCAUGCUGUCAAAAGCCUAAAACUCAUGUUUGAAGCACACAUAUACUGGAAUACAAAUGUUCUGAGAUUAGGAUCUUUUCUGAAUCUCGCAAUUUUGGUGGUGUACCCUGCAACAGC